Molecule: ribosomal RNA, 442 nt
Filed under: uncultured bacterium
Lineage: Bacteria
Description: partial 16S ribosomal RNA
Rfam family: Bacterial small subunit ribosomal RNA
Source: RNAcentral
CCUACGGGGGGCAGCAGUGGGGGAUAUUGCACAAUGGGGGGAACCCUGAUGCAGCGACGCCGCGCGGGUGAAGGAGCGUUUCGGCGCGUAAAGCCCUAUCGGCAGGGAAGAAGGAGGACGGUACCUGACUAAGAAGCCCCGGCUAACUACGUGCCAGCAGCCGCGGUAAUACGUAGGGGGCAAGCGUUAUCCGGAUGUACUGGGUGUAAAGGGGGCGCAGGCGGCAGCGCAAGCCAGGAGUGAAAGCCCGGGGCCCAACCCCGGGACUGCUCUUGGAACUGCGCGGCUGGAGUGCAGGAGGGGCAGGCGGAAUUCCUGGUGUAGCGGUGAAAUGCGUAGAUAUCAGGAAGAACACCAGUGGCGAAGGCGGCCGCCUGGCCUGUUGACUGACGCUGAGGCACGAAAGCGUGGGGAGCAAAUAGGAUUAGAUACCCCUGUAGUC